Molecule: long non-coding RNA, 1045 nt
Organism: Myodes glareolus (Bank vole)
Lineage: Eukaryota; Metazoa; Chordata; Mammalia; Rodentia; Cricetidae
Source: RefSeq, a predicted model, not a curated record
UGCAGUGACCCACAGUCAAGCACUGGUCUGAGCUCCCGGAGUUCAGUUAAAUAGAGACAGAAGAGGUCAUAUGAACCAGUGGAGUCAAGACCAUGAUGUGGAAAACCACAGAGACAGCUGACCUGAGCUAUUGGGAGCUUAUUGACUAUGAACUGAUAGCAGGGGAACCUUUAUGGGACCUAAACUAGACCCUCUAAAGGUAAGCAAGAGAACUUGGCAGGGCAACUGAGACACUCAGCCCAUGGGAAACGUGUUGCCCAGCACGAAACGAGUGACAGAUGGGUUCUCCAACAUGAAAAGGAAAUUCUGUGUUCCUUUCCCGUCUGUAGACACAUCCCAGCUACUGGAAAGACAAACUUCUCCAACUGGUUUUGAAUGUCUUUGUAUUUUUCCCCUCCGGAAAGAAUUCCUGCAUAUCAGCCUCAUGGUUCCCUACUGGCUCCUCAGAGUGACAGUGCUAUUGUCUUCCACAGAGGGACUUGCUACUGCUAUUCACCAGAGAUUUGACUGGCUUUCCCCACCCUACCUUCUUCCACAGGGUGACCAAUUCCUUUCUACUGAAUUGGUUCUCCUACUUUUUAUGUUAUGACAUUUUGAAAGACAUAAUGUUGACUUUGUUACUAAGGAAACAUGUGCAUGUAUUCAAAGACAGUGAAUAAUCAUCCUACAAUAGAGAUGUGCUACUUUGUGGAGUAGAAUCUGUGACAUUGUUUUCAAUUCAGGAGCACUCAAUCUAUGUUAUUUUAAAAAUCUUAUUUGUGACGCACAAACUUACAGUAUUAUCCACAGUUUAAAUGGUAGUUCACAUUCCCACCACAGCAUUUCAGACUUCCAUGGCAGUCUGGAAUGCAGCUCUUCCUGAUCUCAGUUUUCUUCUGUGUUUACUUUUUCUUCAUAGCAGCAACAUUUCAUCCAAAUGUUACUUUCUAUUACAGGCUUUGAGUAUUUACUCGCUUAGUUUCUGUUUUCGCUUUGUUUCUACAGUUCCUCAUAAAAUAAAUGCAUGGAGGUCAGAGCUUUGCAUAUGUUAAUGCAUUCUUGGUGC